Molecule: long non-coding RNA, 767 nt
Organism: Gallus gallus (chicken)
Lineage: Eukaryota; Metazoa; Chordata; Aves; Galliformes; Phasianidae
Source: Ensembl
CGCCGCCAUGUGGGAGCUUCGGCCGCUCCUCCUCGGCCUCGAGGUCGGCGGCUGCGGAGCGCCUCGGUUCCGAAGCGCGGUCUGAAAGGGCUCCCCAGGCGGCGGCUGUGCCGUUAUAGGAAGAAAGUGAGCAUGGAGUGUGUUAUCCCGAGCACCACUGCGAUGCUGGGCUGAGGAGUUCGUGAGGCUUCGUUCUUCCAGGUAUCACCUCUAACAGGAAAUACUGCCAGAAAAAUGCUUCCAAACUGUACUCCUCAGGAGGACCGUUAGUGAACUGAUUACUGAAAAUGAAGUAAAUGGAGCUACAUUUACUGAAGACUCAAGUGAAACUCCAUGGAAAUUCUCCAAGGAUCGUUACUUUGUCAUGCUCAUUAGAACUUGAGAUGAAACCUAUUGAGGUGCCUUAACAUCAUCUCCGAACACCAGGUGCUUUGGCAUUUCAGAUGUCACAUGGGUCAGGACAAAAUAGCAUUUCUAAUUGUCAGCUACAGAAUUGGACACAAAACUGUGAGAGGAGGAGGGAAAUCCCCGUAGAGAGAAUUCAAGGUUAUCACUCUGCUUCUGACAGAAUUGAAAAGCUAACUGACUGACAUGAAAGACCCAGCUUCUUCUACAGUAAUGUUCUGUAAUGGAAAGGCACUGAAGUCGUUCUGCCUUUUGUCCCAGAUCUCUCAUCUCUCAUGUAUUCUUUUCUUUCUCUGUCACAAGGUGGGUACGUUACGUUCUGUUCUGUGAAUUCUAGCUCUGAAUCCAAGUGUGUAUCUCAG